GUGACUGCGUACCUUUUGUAUAAUGGGUCAGCGACUUAUAUUCUGUAGCAAGGUUAACCGAAUAGGGGAGCCGGAGGGAAACCGAGUCUUAAUUGGGCGUUAAGUUGCAGGGUAUAGACCCGAAACCCGGUGAUCUAGCCAUGGGCAGGUUGAAGGUUGGGUAACACUAACUGGAGGACCGAACCGACUAAUGUUGAAAAAUUAGCGGAUGACCUGUGGCUGGGGGUGAAAGGCCAAUCAAACCGGGAGAUAGCUGGUUCUCCCCGAAAGCUAUUUAGGUAGCGCCUCGUGAAUUCAUCUCCGGGGGUAGAGCACUGUUUCGGCUAGGGGGCCAUCCCGGCUUACCAACCCGAUGCAAACUGCGAAUACCGGAGAAUGUUAUCACGGGAGACACACGGCGGGUGCUAACGUCCGUCGUGAAGAGGGAAACAACCCAGACCGCCAGCUAAGGUCCCAAAGUCAUGGUUAAGUGGGAAACGAUGUGGGAAGGCCCAGACAGCCAGGAUGUUGGCUUAGAAGCAGCCAUCAUUUAAAGAAAGCGUAAUAGCUCACUGGUCGAGUCGGCCUGCGCGGAAGAUGUAACGGGGCUAAACCAUGCACCGAAGCUGCGGCAGCGACGCUUAUGCGUUGUUGGGUAGGGGAGCGUUCUGUAAGCCUGUGAAGGUGGCCUGUGAGGGUUGCUGGAGGUAUCAGAAGUGCGAAUGCUGACAUAAGUAACGAUANACGUAUCACCCAAGACAACUUUACGGAGUUGACGAUUGACGGAGCGAAGCGACGUCAAAGCGUUCAUUAAAGUCGAGUUGGCUUAGGGAUACGUUCGUUGGGUAGGGGAGCGUUCUGUAAGCCUGCGAAGGUGGCCUGUGAGGGUUGCUGGAGGUAUCAGAAGUGCGAAUGCUGACAU
This 901-nucleotide ribosomal RNA is filed under the name Salmonella enterica subsp. enterica serovar Weltevreden. RNAcentral describes it as "bacterial LSU rRNA". The stretch from base 1 to 709 matches the Rfam family "Bacterial large subunit ribosomal RNA", at positions 593 to 1301 of the family's 2925-position model. Lineage: Bacteria; Pseudomonadati; Pseudomonadota; Gammaproteobacteria; Enterobacterales; Enterobacteriaceae. The record is from RNAcentral.